CUGAGCUCCAUACCUGCUGUCUGGGCUCCCUCAUGACAGUCUGUUGCACAGUGGCUACAAAAAGCAGCCUCCUGGUGAUGCACACAACUGGCUGCCUGAGUGGGUUCCCCCAGGGACCUUGGGGACAGCU
This is a small nucleolar RNA of Cavia porcellus (domestic guinea pig), 130 nucleotides long. It matches the Rfam family "Small nucleolar RNA SNORA70". From Rfam's summary of the family: snoRNA U70 seems to be exclusive to mammals and is a member of the H/ACA class of snoRNA which contain H (ANANNA) and ACA box motifs. H/ACA box snoRNAs are involved in the conversion of uridines to pseudouridines (5-ribosyluracil) a constituent of structural RNAs (transfer, ribosomal, small nuclear, and small nucleolar). Lineage: Eukaryota; Metazoa; Chordata; Mammalia; Rodentia; Caviidae. The record is from Rfam.